CAGUAGCCGCGGGAAUACGUAGGGUGCGAGCGUUAAUCGGAAUUACUGGGCGUAAAGCGUGCGCAGGCGGUGAUGUAAGACCGAUGUGAAAUCCCCGGGCUUAACCUGGGAACUGCAUUGGUGACUGCAUUGCUAGAGUAUGGCAGAGGGGGGUGGAAUUCCACGUGUAGCAGUGAAAUGCGUAGAGAUGUAGAGGAACACCGAUGGCGAAGGCAGCCCCCUGGGCCAAUACUGACGCUCAUGCACGAAAGCGUGGGGAGCAAACAGGAUUAGAUACCCCCGUAGUCCCUGUCUCUUAUAC
Molecule: ribosomal RNA, 301 nt
Filed under: uncultured bacterium
Lineage: Bacteria
Description: partial 16S ribosomal RNA
Rfam family: Bacterial small subunit ribosomal RNA
Source: RNAcentral